AAUUUUUUUGACAUGUCAAAAAAUUCGAGUAGCGAUCGAGUAGAUAAGACGUCGAGAAGCGAUCGUAUAGUGAUCGAGUAGAAGAUCUAGUUGAUCGAGAAUAAAUCGUGUAACGAUCUAGUUUGGUCGGGUAUACAUCGGUUAUACAUCUCUUACCCGAUCUGUACACGAUCAUCUCGACUUCUACUCGAGCAUUAUCCGAUCUGGUCGAGUGGAAAUCUGGCAACGAUUGAGCAGAGGUCCAGUUAGUCUAGUUGAGAUCGUGUAUGACUCGCGUAUAGGUCUGGGUGAUCGAGAAGAAGUCGGGAUGUUGGUCGGGUUGUCGUCGAGAAGAAGUCGUAAACAUGGUCGACUUGAGGUCGUGUAGGAGUCGUGAAUUUGCAUUUAAUCCAGCUUGGUCGGGCUUCAUCGGGGAAUUAAUGUGAUCGAGUUGAUCUGAUCGGCGGUGAGAACAUAGCUUAAGAUAAAAUUUUCAUGGGCAAAAAAUUGGCCUGUGUGUUUGACGUCAUAAGGCCAAAACAAAAUGGUCUUGAGGUUCUGGUAACAUGCUGAAAAAAAUAGGAAAAACAUUUUUUUUUUUAAUUAGUAUUUUAUUAAAAUUUAACUGUAUGUCAGAUAUAUACACACUAUAGGAUACUCCAAUUUUGCAAUAAAAUGUUCUAGGUAAGGUGCGGAAAUACAGGGUCGGUCCGGUUACUGGAACCACAAGAUCAUUUUGUUUGGCCUAAUCUCGCGUGAAUAAGUCUCGCGAGAAUUGUCUUUUUUUUUAACAUGAACGAAUAUCAGUAUAUAAUUAAGUUAUAAUAAUUAUUUGAGAAAAAUACGUGAUGAAAUAAUUUAAAAUGAAAAAGAAAUGCUUUUAUUUAGACACGUGACUAAAGUUCUUGCUAAAGAAAAACAACAUCCAAUGAAAAUGCGUUAUUUACACCACGUGGUUUUCACACGCAUCGGGGUUUGCCUAAAAUACGAAAGUGACGUU
Long non-coding RNA from Ruditapes philippinarum (Manila clam), 979 nucleotides. RefSeq lists it as uncharacterized. The record is from RefSeq and is a predicted model, not a curated record. NCBI's taxonomy places the organism in Eukaryota, Metazoa, Mollusca, Bivalvia, Venerida, Veneridae. The transcript has 2 exons.